RNAcentral lists this transfer RNA (74 nucleotides) under Trioceros jacksonii. RNAcentral describes it as "partial tRNA-Leu". It matches the Rfam family "tRNA". From Rfam's summary of the family: Transfer RNA (tRNA) molecules are approximately 80 nucleotides in length. Their secondary structure includes four short double-helical elements and three loops (D, anti-codon, and T loops). The record is from RNAcentral. Lineage: Eukaryota; Metazoa; Chordata; Lepidosauria; Squamata; Chamaeleonidae.
ACUUUUAAUGGAAAACAGGCAUCCGCUGGUUUUAGGAACCAAAACUCUUGGUGCAAAUCCAAGUAAAAGUAAUG